GCGGAAAUGGCGAAAUUGGUAGACGCACCAGAUUUAGGUUCUGGCACUUCGGUGUAAGGGUUCGAGUCCCUUUUUCCGCACCA
This 83-nucleotide transfer RNA is filed under the name Aeromonas hydrophila. RNAcentral's name for it is "tRNA-Leu". It matches the Rfam family "tRNA". Rfam says of the family: Transfer RNA (tRNA) molecules are approximately 80 nucleotides in length. Their secondary structure includes four short double-helical elements and three loops (D, anti-codon, and T loops). RNAcentral also lists the same sequence under 2 other names. The record is from RNAcentral. Lineage: Bacteria; Pseudomonadati; Pseudomonadota; Gammaproteobacteria; Aeromonadales; Aeromonadaceae.